This is a long non-coding RNA of Bos taurus (domestic cattle), 4745 nucleotides long. Lineage: Eukaryota; Metazoa; Chordata; Mammalia; Artiodactyla; Bovidae. The record is from Ensembl.
CAUGAACCAUGUCAACUCACAGAUUUUCCUUUCUACCUCCAAUUACCUUUCUCCUGAACCUUCUACCAUCAUCUGCUCUUCACCCACAAGUAUCCCAAGCCCCUCAACCUUCGGGGAGGGAGCCAGAUUUGAAGUUUGUUCACCCCUCACACUUGGGGGCCUCCUGAAUAAGCUUUGCCUCUUCUGCAAAGCUCAGCAUCUCACUGGACAACAGAGGCAGACUUGACCCAGCCUGAACUCAAUUUUCUGGCGAUUUGGAAGCGAGGGCCUGCUUGUGGAGCAGAUUAACAGGCGAUGGCAGUAAAGCUGGCUUAAGGCAGGAGGCAGGUGCUGCUUGAGUGUGGCUUACAUGAGCUUGUUUACAAGCUGCAAAGGACCCAGGAAAGAAAGACUCCUAGAGGGCAGGGGGCAGUUACUCUACUGCAUGCGACAUUCCUACAGCUUCUUCCAAGAGGUGGGCUAGUCCAACCCUGAGCUCCUGGAGGGGGUAAGUGCCUGCCCCGCACCCCCUGCCCCGUUCUUCAUUCCUGCACCUGGCACAGAGCCCUCUUGCAGGGGCCCAGGGCAGAACAGGAAGCAGAUCCCUUCCUUGGGAGCCUGGACAUGAGAACACUAGGGUUGAAAGUGGGCAAGCAGGAGUUCGGAACAGCCGUCCAAUUGCUCCUCUCUCCCCAAAGCCGCAAACAGGCUACCUCCUGUACAGAUCCAAUUUAGGGAAGAGACAAGGGCUGCCACCUUCUCUGGUGGCUCAGUGGUAAGGAAUCUGCCUGCCAAUGCAAGAGAUGUGGGUUCGAUCCCUGGGUCGGGAAGACCACUUGGAAAAGGAAAUGGUAACCCACUCCAGUAUUCUUGCCUGGGAAACCUCACAGAGUGGCCUGGGGGGGCCAUGGGGUCACAAAGACUGACAACUCAGCACACACGCACAUAGAAUUUAAGAGUUCAAUUGAGUGCGUGUGCUACCCUAUCUCUGCCUUAGUCAGACACUGUGGAGUUGGGCUAGCGAGAGGAAGUGGCCACAGCCUUUCAGGUUGCUUUUUUUAAAUCAGGGCUCUUCUAGACCUGACUACCACUUGCACGCUCGUGUGCAACAAGGGCUGAGGUCAAGCAUGCCCAGGGUGAAGUGGAACCUUGUAGGGCUAUUGGGGCCACUAUGAGGAAAGCAGGAGCGACUCCCAUCUUGAAGCUUAUCUCUCUUAAGGACAGGAUGUGAACUGGGCCUGAACUCUGCCCAACAAUGAGGAAAGCGAUGCUAACAAAAACCAGGUCUCCUGGAGACUUCCCUCCCUAUCGAUGGCAAAUGGAGACUGUAGUUGAGGUCAGGCUGCUCCUGUGAGAUUUAACCAUGGAGACAUCCCCAUGAUGUAUAAUCAUUAUUCCCCCAUAACCUUAAUUGUUUGUUCUCCUAGCACCUGCUUGUUGUAAAACUCAAGUCAUAAGACAAAGGAGGUUGCUAACAUGUAACCAGUCACAUAGCAAGGGGUAUAAAAGUCUCAAACAUCAGGGUCCUUGUUGGGAACCGAUUCCCCUUGGACCUGCUGGCAUCAUGAACUGUACUCCAAUGUCUUGAGUGUCCUCCGAAGUGUGUUUCACGACUCUAGAUUCCACAACAGGGCCACACGUUAAGCCUUUUUUUUUUUUCUUACUACAAAUCAGCUGGCAGAACUGAAGGGGAGAGGGCCUCCUCAUACACAUACCUGGAGCCAAAUGAACGGUUUCUCUCCAAGUUACCCAACUCAGGUAAUUGCAACCAGUUUCCCCCAAAGCCAGCCUAGGGGUUUUCCUGAAGAAAGUUUGAAGGAGUAUGCCCCAAAGGGUGCGUUUUUAAGAGAUGCUGUUUUACACACUUUGGAAUUCAAUGUGGAUUCAGGUGAUGCUCUCGUGACUCACCUCCAGAGGGCAGAUCGGCAGCUUCCCUUAGCUUAUCUGGUGGGCCCUUUGUUAAAUAUUGCAAAAACUGUUGGCAGGGCAGGCAAAUUGGAUUAACCCAGCAGGCACAGCAUCGUAUGUUAAAUGCUGUUUAUGUACAGUUUGGGCUUCCCAGAUGGAUCAGUGGUCAAGAGUCAGCCUGCUGAUGCAGGAGACGGAGGUUUGAUCCCUGGGUCAGGAAGAUCCCCGGGAGGGGGAAACAGAAACCCACUCUAGUACUCUUUGCCUGGAGAAUCCCAUGGACAGAGGAGCUGGGCUGGCAAGAGUGAGGGGCUGUGGUCUGGCGGGUUACCCAGUCUGAGCAAGGCUCUUCGGAGCUGACUGCCACUUGUUAAGAAAGGGGUCAUCUCUCCCAUUAUCUGCAGUUGGAAGUCUCCCCAGGCAGAGAAAAAAGACUGGAGUGGGAGGCGACAGAAUAUUAACCAGAGAUUCGGGCAUCCAAGAGUCCAGGUGAAGAAUGUGGCGGUUGUGGGUGGGUAGAUGAGUUUUCUGGCCAGUAUAGCCAGAGAUGGGGCCGCUGAUCACUGCAGGAAGGGACAGCACGGAGGAGCCGUCUUGUGCAAUGGGAGAAGGCGAGGUUGCCUGGUCUCAGCUGGCAUUAGGUCCAGUCCUGGUAGGUGUCUCUGGGACACUCCCGAGGUGCCAGGGAGGCAGUUUCAGAAAUGAGGGGGUCAGAAGUGGCUGGGCGACACAGCAGUCACAGACUGGGGUACAGUUGUGUUUGAGGGUCCCCACCGGAGACUAAGAGUACAUUGACACUUGUAUUAAAGGUGUGGGUGAGGAGUGGGAGAGCCCAAGGUGGGUUAGUAACAGCUGAUACCAACUCAAGGAUGGCUGAUCCCUUACAGCUGAGAUAAACCAAGCUAGGAUCACCCCAGGGAAACAGCACCCCUUGUCCCUCUUCCUUCCAACCCCUGAAACUCCCUGACAAGUCAUGUUUUCUGUGACCUGAUUUUUAUAGCAAAGGCCCGCAUCCCUAACCCCCAGCCAAACUCAAGUCCCCAUACCAACCUAACUUCCUCCUAAGCUAUCGAGUCUAGCUUCCUGCAGGGGUUGGAACUUAGCUUUAAGUUUGCUGUAUGGUCUCAUUUAUCGAGUCUAAGAAGGUUUUACCCCCAUGCAUAAGGGUUAUCUGCUUUCAAAGGGCUUAAGGUUAAUGCUUUAGUUUUAGAGUCAGUCCUUCCGUUACACAGAUGCCUGAGGGGGUGAAAAGUUAGCACACCUGAUCUUAAUCCCAGUCCCAAUUCUCAGAUGAUUACAGCCCUCACCUGUAGACCACUCCUUUUCCCUUUGUUCUGGCAACAUCUCUAGGGUGGUUCAGUUCACAAGACUACCUUCACAGAUACUCUUUCUGAAUUGAGGACUGCACAUGGGGUCUGGGGUCAGCCAUUUGAGUACCCUGUGCCAGGGACACACUCCAGAUAACAGGGAUAUCAAGAAGGUAUUUGUCGAGGAUGGAAGUUUUCGAUUCAGUCAGGUGGUCAGGGUAGGGGGUUUUCCCUGAAUAAACAACAUGCAUUUAAGUACUUUUGAGUAAUUCCAGGUAGCCAACAGAGGUUACAGAAGCCCUGGAGGCAAGAGCAAGGCUGGGGCAUUCGUGGAAUACCCAGGAAGCUGAGGUGCUGCAGAAAACAAAGAGGGAGCAGAGCUGAAAGUGGAGAGUAAGAUAGUCUCAUGGAAACCUGAGACCUAGCACAUAGGGCUCAGUAGGCCAUUUUUAUGGCUUAUAGCUUGAACUUUUGAGAUCGAGCACCUACAGGUUUGAGAGUAAGGAACAGAUUUCAUUUUCAGUUUUAAAACAGGCUGCAGCCUGAAGAGCAGAGGUGAAGGUGGGGCAGGGUAGGAGCAGAUACCUAGAGACCAGAUAGGACACACCUGUGUUCACACAGGUGCGCCUUCAAGGCUCUGCAGGACUAUUCAGUAAAGACACAUGGACCUGGAUGCAAUUCAAAAAUAGAGCCAACCCAGGUACAACGUCCCCUGCAACUCCGGAAGAUUUCCCAAGAGAGCCAGAGGCAAGGAUAGCAUGGCCCCCAGGAGGUCGCACAGGCCUGGCCGAGGAAGACACACUGACCACCUCGCUCUGGAAGCUUCCACCGCGAGCAAUUCCUUAUAAUCAGUACAUCGAUUCCUAUGUCUGACGCCAAGAUCUUUAUUAUGUUUUUUCUAUUUUUCUAUGUUGAAAAUUUUCAAAGCUUCAAAUGAGUAAAGGUUAAGCAUAAAAAAUUUUUCCAGAAAGGAUCACCCUGAGGUUUUUGAGUUUACGUUUAACCCUCCUCUACCCUCGUCCCCGCAAACCCCGAGGCAGUACCGAACUUGCUUUUCCCCUAGCAACGAGGCGCUGCUUCAGCCUUACAAGUUGAAGUUCCCCCUUCUGCUUUCAUUAGGAAAUAAGCACUAUUUUUUUUUUUUUUUUUUAGAACCUACAUCCCUCCCCCUUCUGCUCUUGGGUUCCUAGUUUCCUAAAAAGUUUUUGAGAGAGCUCGGGCCCUGCAAAGCACAUCCCUAAAACUCCUCCUACAGCUCCUUUUUGCGAGGAAGGGCGACUACCAGUUAAACAUGCUUUGAAGGAGAAAGCAAGAAAAAGAACUCUUCUGUUUGCAAAACCCAAGCAGGACGCCCACUGGGCUGAAAAGCUGGCAGCUCGGUAAACGCCCGCCACGCAAACACAAGCCUUAUCCUGGAGCUCCGGUGAUUUCACCGCCCGCAAAACUUCAGCAAAAAAAAAAAAAAAAAAAAUCAACUUCCUUAGCCCACCCUUCCCCACUACUACCCGAGCCACCCAACGUCCUCCCGCCGGCUCCCAGGCACAUUCUGAC